CCUACGGGAGGCAGCAGUGAGGAAUAUUGGUCAAUGGACGAGAGUCUGAACCAGCCAAGUAGCGUGAAGGAUGACUGCCCUAUGGGUUGUAAACUUCUUUUAUAUGGGAAUAAAAUGUUCCACGUGUGGGAUUUUGUAUGUACCAUAUGAAUAAGGAUCGGCUAACUCCGUGCCAGCAGCCGCGGUAAUACGGAGGAUCCGAGCGUUAUCCGGAUUUAUUGGGUUUAAAGGGAGCGUAGGUGGAUUGUUAAGUCAGUUGUGAAAGUUUGCGGAUCAACCGUAAAAUUGCAGUUGAAACUGGCAGUCUUGAGUACAGUAGAGGUGGGCGGAAUUCGUGGUGUAGCGGUGAAAUGCUUAGAUAUAACGAAGAACUCCGAUUGCGAAGGCAGUUCACUGGACUGCAACUGACACUGAGGCUCGAAAGUGUGGGUAUCAAACAGGAUUAGAUACCCGUGUAGUC
Molecule: ribosomal RNA, 460 nt
Filed under: uncultured bacterium
Lineage: Bacteria
Description: partial 16S ribosomal RNA
Rfam family: Bacterial small subunit ribosomal RNA
Source: RNAcentral